Molecule: ribosomal RNA, 652 nt
Filed under: uncultured bacterium
Lineage: Bacteria
Description: bacterial SSU rRNA
Rfam family: Bacterial small subunit ribosomal RNA
Source: RNAcentral
AGAGUUUGAUCCUGGCUCAGAACGAACGCUGGCGGCAGGCCUAACACAUGCAAGUCGAGCGCGAAAGCUCCUCCGGGAGCGAGUAGAGCGGCGAACGGGUGAGUAACACGUGAGUAACCUGGCUCGAGGUCCGGGAUAACUCUCCGAAAGGGGGGCUAAUACCGGGGAAGACCACGCGACUGCGGUCGAGUGGGAAAAGAGGGGGAUCUCUCCAGAGACCUCUCGCCACGAGAUGGGCUCGCGGCCCAUUAGGUAGUUGGUGAGGUAACGGCUCACCAAGCCGAAGAUGGGUAGCUGGUCUGAGAGGGCGAUCAGCCACACUGGAACUGAGACACGGUCCAGACUCCUACGGGAGGCAGCAGUGGGGAAUCUUGCGCAAUGGGCGAAAGCCUGACGCAGCCAUGCCGCGUGAGCGAUGAAGGCCCGUGGGUCGUAAAGCUCUGUCCAGGGGGACGAACAUGCUGCGGUCAAACAGGCCGCAGAGCUGACGGUACCCCUGAAGAAAGCACCGGCUAACUCCGUGCCAGCAGCCGCGGUAAUACGGAGGGUGCGAGCGUUGUUCGGAAUUACUGGGCGUAAAGCGCAUGUAGGCGGCGUCGUAAGUCGGGUGUGAAAGCCCUGGGUUCAACCCAGGAACUGCGCCCGAUACUGC